GACGAACGCUGGCGGCGUGCCUAAUACAUGCAAGUAGAACGCUGAAGGAGGAGCUUGCUUCUCUGGAUGAGUUGCGAACGGGUGAGUAACGCGUAGGUAACCUGCCUGGUAGCGGGGGAUAACUAUUGGAAACGACAGCUAAUACCGCAUAAUAGUAGAUGUUGCAUGACAUUUGACUAAAAGGUGCAAUUGACUCACUACCAGAUGGACCUGCGUUGUAUUAGCUAGUUGGUGGGGUAACGGCUCACCAAGACGACGAUACAUAGCCGACCUGAGAGGGUGAUCGGCCACACUGGGACUGAGACACGGCCCAGACUCCUACGGGAGGCAGCAGUAGGGAAGCUUCGGCAAUGGACGGAAGUCUGACCGAGCAACGCCGCGUGAGUGAAGAAGGUUUUCGGAUCGUAAAGCUCUGUUGUAAGAGAAGAACGGAUGUGAGCGUGGAAAGUGCACACUGGGACGGGAUCAUACCAGAAAGGGACGGAUAACUACGU
RNAcentral lists this ribosomal RNA (494 nucleotides) under uncultured bacterium. RNAcentral's name for it is "partial 16S ribosomal RNA". It matches the Rfam family "Bacterial small subunit ribosomal RNA", at positions 28 to 506 of the family's 1533-position model. The record is from RNAcentral.